This 273-nucleotide ribosomal RNA is filed under the name uncultured bacterium. Its description in RNAcentral is "partial 16S ribosomal RNA". It matches the Rfam family "Bacterial small subunit ribosomal RNA", at positions 524 to 796 of the family's 1533-position model. The record is from RNAcentral.
UACGGAGGGGGCUAGCGUUAUUCGGAAUCACUGGGCUUAAAGGGUACGUAGGCGGUUAAUCAAGUCAGGUGUGAAAUGCCUGAGCUCAACUGAGGCACUGCGCUUGAAACUGAUUAGCUAGAGUAUUCCAGGGGUGUGCGGAACUUAUGGUGGAGCGGUGAAAUGCGUUGAUAUCAUGAGGAACACCGGAGGCGAAGGCGGCACACUGGGGAAUUACUGACGCUGAGGUACGAAAGCUAGGGUAGCGAACGGGAUUAGAUACCCGCGUAGUCC